This 1358-nucleotide ribosomal RNA is filed under the name uncultured bacterium. RNAcentral describes it as "bacterial SSU rRNA". It matches the Rfam family "Bacterial small subunit ribosomal RNA". The record is from RNAcentral.
AGAGUUUGAUCCUGGCUCAGGAUGAACGCUGGCGGCGUGCCUAACACAUGCAAGUCGAGCGAUUCUCUUCGGAGAAGAGCGGCGGACGGGUGAGUAACGCGUGGGUAACCUGCCCUGUACACACGGAUAACAUACCGAAAGGUAUGCUAAUACGAGAUAAUAUGCUUUUAUCGCAUGGUAGAAGUAUCAAAGCUUUUGCGGUACAGGAUGGACCCGCGUCUGAUUAGCUAGUUGGUAAGGUAACGGCUUACCAAGGCGACGAUCAGUAGCCGACCUGAGAGGGUGAUCGGCCACAUUGGAACUGAGACACGGUCCAAACUCCUACGGGAGGCAGCAGUGGGGAAUAUUGCACAAUGGGCGAAAGCCUGAUACAGCGACGCCGCGUGGAGGAAGAAGGUCUUCGGAUUGUAAACUCCUGUUGUUGAGGAAGAUAAUGACGGUACUCAACAAGGAAGUGACGGCUAACUACGUGCCAGCAGCCGCGGUAAAACGUAGGUCACAAGCGUUGUCCGGAAUUACUGGGUGUAAAGGGAGCGCAGGCGGGAAGACAAGUUGGAAGUGAAAUCCAUGGGCUCAACCCAUGAACUGCUUUCAAAACUGUUUUUCUUGAGUAGUGCAGAGGUAGGCGGAAUUCCCGGUGUAGCGGUGGAAUGCGUAGAUAUCGGGAGGAACACCAGUGGCGAAGGCGGCCUACUGGGCACCAACUGACGCUGAGGCUCGAAAGUGUGGGUAGCAAACAGGAUUAGAUACCCUGGUAGUCCACACUGUAAACGAUGAUUACUAGGUGUUGGGAGGAUUGACCCCUUCAGUGCCGCAGUUAACACAAUAAGUAAUCCACCUGGGGAGUACGACCGCCAAGGUUGAAACUCAAAGGAAUUGACGGGGGCCCGCACAAGCAGUGGAGUAUGUGGUUUAAUUCGACGCAACGCGAAGAACCUUACCAAGUCUUGACAUCCUGCGACGGACAUAGAAAUAUGUUUUUCCUUCGGGACGCAGAGACAGGUGGUGCAUGGUUGUCGUCAGCUCGUGUCGUGAGAUGUUGGGUUAAGUCCCGCAACGAGCGCAACCCUUAUGGUCAGUUACUACGCAAGAGGACUCUGGCCAGACUGCCGUUGACAAAACGGAGGAAGGUGGGGAUGACGUCAAAUCAUCAUGCCCUUUAUGACUUGGGCUACACACGUACUACAAUGGCGUUAAACAAAGAGAAGCAAGACCGCGAGGUGGAGCAAAACUCAGAAACAACGUCCCAGUUCGGACUGCAGGCUGCAACUCGCCUGCACGAAGUCGGAAUUGCUAGUAAUCGCAGAUCAGCAUGCUGCGGUGAAUACGUUCCCGGGCCUUGUACACACCGCCCGUCA